Molecule: ribosomal RNA, 1550 nt
Filed under: Klebsiella pneumoniae
Lineage: Bacteria; Pseudomonadati; Pseudomonadota; Gammaproteobacteria; Enterobacterales; Enterobacteriaceae
Description: bacterial SSU rRNA
Rfam family: Bacterial small subunit ribosomal RNA
Source: RNAcentral
AAAUUGAAGAGUUUGAUCAUGGCUCAGAUUGAACGCUGGCGGCAGGCCUAACACAUGCAAGUCGAGCGGUAGCACAGAGAGCUUGCUCUCGGGUGACGAGCGGCGGACGGGUGAGUAAUGUCUGGGAAACUGCCUGAUGGAGGGGGAUAACUACUGGAAACGGUAGCUAAUACCGCAUAACGUCGCAAGACCAAAGUGGGGGACCUUCGGGCCUCAUGCCAUCAGAUGUGCCCAGAUGGGAUUAGCUAGUAGGUGGGGUAACGGCUCACCUAGGCGACGAUCCCUAGCUGGUCUGAGAGGAUGACCAGCCACACUGGAACUGAGACACGGUCCAGACUCCUACGGGAGGCAGCAGUGGGGAAUAUUGCACAAUGGGCGCAAGCCUGAUGCAGCCAUGCCGCGUGUGUGAAGAAGGCCUUCGGGUUGUAAAGCACUUUCAGCGGGGAGGAAGGCGUUAAGGUUAAUAACCUUGGCGAUUGACGUUACCCGCAGAAGAAGCACCGGCUAACUCCGUGCCAGCAGCCGCGGUAAUACGGAGGGUGCAAGCGUUAAUCGGAAUUACUGGGCGUAAAGCGCACGCAGGCGGUCUGUCAAGUCGGAUGUGAAAUCCCCGGGCUCAACCUGGGAACUGCAUUCGAAACUGGCAGGCUAGAGUCUUGUAGAGGGGGGUAGAAUUCCAGGUGUAGCGGUGAAAUGCGUAGAGAUCUGGAGGAAUACCGGUGGCGAAGGCGGCCCCCUGGACAAAGACUGACGCUCAGGUGCGAAAGCGUGGGGAGCAAACAGGAUUAGAUACCCUGGUAGUCCACGCCGUAAACGAUGUCGAUUUGGAGGUUGUGCCCUUGAGGCGUGGCUUCCGGAGCUAACGCGUUAAAUCGACCGCCUGGGGAGUACGGCCGCAAGGUUAAAACUCAAAUGAAUUGACGGGGGCCCGCACAAGCGGUGGAGCAUGUGGUUUAAUUCGAUGCAACGCGAAGAACCUUACCUGGUCUUGACAUCCACAGAACUUUCCAGAGAUGGAUUGGUGCCUUCGGGAACUGUGAGACAGGUGCUGCAUGGCUGUCGUCAGCUCGUGUUGUGAAAUGUUGGGUUAAGUCCCGCAACGAGCGCAACCCUUAUCCUUUGUUGCCAGCGGUCCGGCCGGGAACUCAAAGGAGACUGCCAGUGAUAAACUGGAGGAAGGUGGGGAUGACGUCAAGUCAUCAUGGCCCUUACGACCAGGGCUACACACGUGCUACAAUGGCAUAUACAAAGAGAAGCGACCUCGCGAGAGCAAGCGGACCUCAUAAAGUAUGUCGUAGUCCGGAUUGGAGUCUGCAACUCGACUCCAUGAAGUCGGAAUCGCUAGUAAUCGUAGAUCAGAAUGCUACGGUGAAUACGUUCCCGGGCCUUGUACACACCGCCCGUCACAUCAUGGGAGUGGGUUGCAAAAGAAGUAGGUAGCUUAACCUUCGGGAGGGCGCUUACCACUUUGUGAUUCAUGACUGGGGUGAAGUCGUAACAAGGUAACCGUAGGGGAACCUGCGGUUGGAUCACCUCCUUACCUUAAAGAA